This is a long non-coding RNA of Cyprinus carpio carpio, 857 nucleotides long. The record is from Ensembl. NCBI's taxonomy places the organism in Eukaryota, Metazoa, Chordata, Actinopteri, Cypriniformes, Cyprinidae.
CUGCUGCCAAAUUCAGCCCGCCCUCCAUAACAAUCUCCAUGGCCAAUGGAAGUCUCUGGGUGGCGGUAAAGUUUCCUUGUGCUCCAUCCAUAAGCUGCACAUUUGAAGGUGAUGAUGAAUUUGAUGAGGAGGAGGAGGAGGAGGAGGAGGAGGAGAUAGGAUGCCCCUGUCUUGUAACUGAUGUUGUUAAAAGUCUCUGGGCAACAGUCACUCUAUACAAUGAACAGAAUCUCUCAGACAAACAGGCACACACCGCUGAAGUGAUGCGUGAAACCCCAUUCAAGGUGGAAUUUGGUUUUCUUACACCAGGGCAAGUGUACUGUGCUGUGGCCAACUUCACAUUUGAGGGUGUGCUGGUCCCUUCUCCCCCGAGCAUCCCGCAGUGUGUUUACAUACCAGCAAAUAACGGCUUUACUUCGAGACCUGGAACUUCAGAAAAAGACUUCUGUUGACUCCAGUGAAGCUGCACCACACAACGGGAGCUCUGAGGGUGACCACGUUUCUGUUGUUUCCUUCUCUGACUUUACACUCACGGACACCCAGUCUUCUUACUACAACACCCAAAGUCUGGCCAACGGCUGUUACACAAGCCCCAUCCUGCAAAAUCCAGACUGCACUGAGGAAUCUGCGCCGUCUGAAGAGUUGAGCACAGAAGUCCAACAUGAUAAGUUCUAUCUGUUAACAUCACAUCCAAUUCUAGAAACAGAGGUGGGAUGUCCAUAUCAGAAUCAUUUACUGUCACCCAGAGACAUCCCUCUGAGCUCGGUGCGAGUUGAACACACUCAACAGGACGAGACAUCAACUGAAGACCCAGAGUGGUCUGAAGAUGUCAUGUGGGGAAAACUGAAUAUGAGACC